This 412-nucleotide ribosomal RNA is filed under the name uncultured eukaryote. RNAcentral's name for it is "bacterial SSU rRNA". It matches the Rfam family "Eukaryotic small subunit ribosomal RNA", at positions 592 to 1018 of the family's 1831-position model. The record is from RNAcentral.
CAAUAGCGUAUAUUAAAGUUGUUGCAGUUAAAAAGCUCGUAGUUGGACUUCUGGCAGGGCGCCGCGUGCCACAGUAGUGUGCACAAGGGCCCGGCCAUCCUUCUGUAAACGUCGGGGAAGUUUAUUCGUCCGCGGCGGGAUCAGUUAAUUUACCUUGAGAAAAUUAGAGUGUUUCAGGCAGGCUUUCGCCGGAAUACAUUAGCAUGGAAUAAUGGAAAAGGACUUCAACCUCUUCUGUUGGUCUGAGAGGCUGUAGUAAUGAUUAAUAGGGAUAGUUGGGGGCAUUAGUACUUAACUGUCAGAGGUGAAAUUCUCCGAUUUGUUAAAGACUAACUUAUGCGAAAGCAUUUGCCAAGGAUGUUUUCAUUAAUCAAGAACGAAAGUUAGGGGAUCAAAGAUGAUUAGAUAUCAU